RNAcentral lists this ribosomal RNA (487 nucleotides) under uncultured bacterium. RNAcentral describes it as "bacterial SSU rRNA". It matches the Rfam family "Bacterial small subunit ribosomal RNA", at positions 8 to 518 of the family's 1533-position model. The record is from RNAcentral.
AGAGUUUGAUUAUGGCUCAGGAUUAACGCUGGCGGCGUGCCUAACACAUGCAAGUCGAACGGAAUAUCUUCGGAUAUUUAGUGGCGAACGGGUGAGUAAUGUACAGGUAAUGUACCUUCGUACUGCGAAUAACAAGCUGAAAAGUUUGCUAAUACGGAAUAGUUUCCUUCGAGGGCAUCCUUAAAGGAAUAAAGAUUUAUCGUGCGGAGAUCAGCCUGUAUCCUAUUAGUUAGUUGGUGGGGUAAUGGCCUACCAAGACGACGAUGGGUAACUGGUCUGAGAGGAUGAGCAGUCACAUUGGAACUGAGAAACGGUCCAAACUCCUACGGGAGGCAGCAGUGAGGAAUUUUGCGCAAUGGGGGAAACCCUGACGCCAGCAACGCCGCGUGAGUGAUGACGGCCUUCGGGUUGUAAAGCUCUGUCGUGUGUGACGAGUAGGGACGGUAACACACAAGGAAGCCUCGGCUAACUACGUGCCAGCCGCCGC